AACCACAGCGUGUUCUACCUCAAGGAAUGGUUCUGGAACCAAGAGCUCAGUUCACCUUCCUAAGUGGAGCAUUCAAGGGUAAAGUGGAGGAAGAAGGAUUGGGAUGGUAAAUUUCCCAAACAGUACACAUAGAGCAAGGAGGGUAGGAUGAGGGAGCUGGGCCUGUUCAGCCUUGAGAAGAGAAAGCUGAGAGGGGACCUCAUCAAUGUCUGUGACUGAGCACUGGAACAGACUGCCCUUGCUGGAGAUGUUCAAGAAGUGUCUGGAGGCAUCCUGUGCAGUGUGCUCUGCUUGAGCAGGGAGGCUGGAUCAGAUCACCACUGUGGUCCCUUCCAGCCUCACCCAUACUGUAAGUUCUGUUAUAGCUCAAAUAUUAAGGCUGAGCUAACAGUGCUUUUCAGAGAAUAAAAUUUGUGUGGUAUGU
Passer domesticus (house sparrow) is the source of this 424-nucleotide long non-coding RNA. RefSeq lists it as uncharacterized. The record is from RefSeq and is a predicted model, not a curated record. NCBI's taxonomy places the organism in Eukaryota, Metazoa, Chordata, Aves, Passeriformes, Passeridae. The transcript is spliced from 3 exons.